GACGAACGCUGGCGGCGUGCUUAACACAUGCAAGUCGAACGGAAAGGCCCUGCUUGCAGGGUACUCGAGUGGCGAACGGGUGAGUAACACGUGGGGGAUCUGCCCUGCACUUCGGGAUAAGCUUGGGAAACUGGGUCUAAUACCGGAUAGGAGCCAUCUUUAGUGUGGUGGUUGGAAAGUUUUUUCGGUGUAGGAUGAGCUCGCGGCCUAUCAGCUUGUUGGUGGGGUAAUGGCCUACCAAGGCGGCGACGGGUAGCCGGCCUGAGAGGGUGUACGGCCACAGUGGGACUGAGAUACGGCCCAGACUCCUACGGGAGGCAGCAGUGGGGAAUAUUGCACAAUGGGCGCAAGCCUGAUGCAGCGACGCCGCGUGGGGGAUGAAGGCCUUCGGGUUGUAAACUCCUUUCGCUAGGGACGAAGCUUUGUUGUGACGGUACCUAGAUAAGAAGCACCGGCUAACUACGUG
RNAcentral lists this ribosomal RNA (466 nucleotides) under uncultured bacterium. Its description in RNAcentral is "partial 16S ribosomal RNA". It matches the Rfam family "Bacterial small subunit ribosomal RNA", at positions 28 to 507 of the family's 1533-position model. The record is from RNAcentral.